Molecule: ribosomal RNA, 443 nt
Filed under: uncultured bacterium
Lineage: Bacteria
Description: partial 16S ribosomal RNA
Rfam family: Bacterial small subunit ribosomal RNA
Source: RNAcentral
CCUACGGGAGGCAGCAGUGGGGAAUCUUGGGCAAUGGGCGCAAGCCUGACCCAGCAACGCCGCGUGAAGGAAGAAGGCUCUCGGGUUGUAAACUUCUUUUAUCAGGGACGAAGCAAGUGACGGUACCUGAUGAAUAAGCCACGGCUAACUACGUGACAGCAGCCGCGGUAAUACGUAGGGUGCAAGCGUUAUCCGGAUUUACUGGGUGUAAAGGGCGUGUAGGCGGGAUAGCAAGUCAGGUGGGAAAACCAUGGGGUCAACCUGUAGCCUGGUUUUGAAACUGUUUUUCUUGAGUGUUGGAGAGGAGGACGGAAUUCCUUGUGUAGCGGUGAAAUGCGUAGAUAUAAGGAGGAACACCAGUGGCGAAGGCGGUCUGCUGGACAGCAACUGACGCUGAGGCGCGAAAGCGUGGGGAGCAAACAGGAUUAGAUACCCCAGUAGUC